AAGGGAGACCUAAUUCGGGUAUAAGACGAAAAAAGAGUAGUCGAAACCAAGAAUCAAUCCCAAAAGGUCGGAACGAGGUAUGUGGCUUUCAAACUAGGUUCUGGGUUCACACAAGACCUGAAUCAGGAACAAGGGCUAUUAGCUCAGGUGGUUAGAGCGCACCCCUGAUAAGGGUGAGGUCCCUGGUUCGAGUCCAGGAUGGCCCACCUGCACAGGUGGCAAAAACAAAGAAGCGAGGAAUCAGCACCUUAUCUUAUCUAUAUAUAAGAGAGAAUGCUGGCUCUGAGUAAAGAGUCCAGAGGAACCUUGAAAACUCUGUGUGCCUAGGUAUCCAGAGGACGGGCGGUGUGUCCAA
This 355-nucleotide transfer RNA is filed under the name uncultured Microcystis sp. RNAcentral's name for it is "partial 16S-23S ribosomal RNA intergenic spacer". The stretch from base 133 to 206 matches the Rfam family "tRNA". The record is from RNAcentral. Lineage: Bacteria; Bacillati; Cyanobacteriota; Cyanophyceae; Chroococcales; Microcystaceae.